This 392-nucleotide ribosomal RNA is filed under the name uncultured bacterium. RNAcentral's name for it is "partial 16S ribosomal RNA". It matches the Rfam family "Bacterial small subunit ribosomal RNA", at positions 523 to 918 of the family's 1533-position model. The record is from RNAcentral.
AUACGGAGGAUCCGAGCGUUAUCCGGAUUUAUUGGGUUUAAAGGGUGCGCAGGCGGCCAUCUAAGUCAGCGGUUAAAUCGUGGGGCUCAACCCCAUUCUGCCGUUGAUACUGGGUGGCUUGAUUGCGGUCGAGGUUGGCGGAAUUCGUUGUGUAGCGGUGAAAUGCAUAGAUAUGACGAAGAACACCGAUUGCGUAGGCAGCUGACCAGACCGCAAAUGACGCUCAUGCACGAAAGUGCGGGGAUCGAACAGGAUUAGAUACCCUGGUAGUCCGCACAGUAAACGAUGAAUACUUGUUUUCGGCGAUAUAAUGUCGGAGGCAAAGCGAAAGCGAUAAGUAUUCCACCUGGGGAGUACGCCGGCAACGGUGAAACUCAAAGGAAUUGACGGGG